AGGUGUUCCUUGAGGAGUGGCUUCCGGAGCUAACGCGUUAAGUCGACCGCCUGGGGAGUACGGCCGCAAGGUUAAAACUCAAAUGAAUUGACGGGGGCCCGCACAAGCGGUGGAGCAUGUGGUUUAAUUCGAUGCAACGCGAAGAACCUUACCUACUCUUGACAUCCAGAGAACUUAGCAGAGAUGCUUUGGUGCCUUCGGGAACUCUGAGACAGGUGCUGCAUGGCUGUCGUCAGCUCGUGUUGUGAAAUGUUGGGUUAAGUCCCGCAACGAGCGCAACCCUUAUCCUUUGUUGCCAGCGGUUCGGCCGGGAACUCAAAGGAGACUGCCAGUGAUAAACUGGAGGAAGGUGGGGAUGACGUCAAGUCAUCAUGGCCCUUACGAGUAGGGCUACACACGUGCUACAAUGGCGCAUACAAAGAGAAGCGACCUCGCGAGAGCAAGCGGACCUCAUAAAGUGCGUCGUAGUCCGGAUCGGAGUCUGCAACUCGACUCCGUGAAGUCGGAAUCGCUAGUAAUCGUAGAUCAGAAUGCUACGGUGAAUACGUUCCCGGGCCUUGUACUCCCCGCCCGUCAAAA
RNAcentral lists this ribosomal RNA (579 nucleotides) under Enterobacterales bacterium. RNAcentral's name for it is "bacterial SSU rRNA". It matches the Rfam family "Bacterial small subunit ribosomal RNA", at positions 822 to 1402 of the family's 1533-position model. The record is from RNAcentral. Lineage: Bacteria; Pseudomonadati; Pseudomonadota; Gammaproteobacteria; Enterobacterales.